GACGAACGCUGGCGGCGUGCUUAACACAUGCAAGUCGAACGAUGAAGAAGAGAAACGCGAACUUCGGUUCAAAUUUCACUUCGGAUUAGUGGCAGACGGGUGAGUAACGCGUGAGCAACCUACCUCUUACAAAGGGAUAGCCUCGGGAAACCGUGAUUAAUACCAUAUGACACAUUAAUAAGGCAUCUUAAGAAUGUUAAAGCUACGGCGGUAAGAGAUGGGCUCGCGUCCCAUUAGCUAGUUGGUGAGGUAACGGCCCACCAAGGCGACGAUGGGUAACCGGCCUGAGAGGGUGAACGGUCACAUUGGAACUGAGACACGGUCCAAACUCCUACGGGAAGCAGCAGUGGGGAAUAUUGCACAAUGGAGGGAACUCUGAUGCAGCGACGCCGCGUGAGCGAUGAAGGAAUUCGUUUCGUAAAGCUCUGUUCUAUGGGAAGAAAAGGACUGUACCAUAGGAGAAAGCCCCGGCUAAAUACGUG
RNAcentral lists this ribosomal RNA (482 nucleotides) under uncultured bacterium. Its description in RNAcentral is "partial 16S ribosomal RNA". It matches the Rfam family "Bacterial small subunit ribosomal RNA", at positions 28 to 507 of the family's 1533-position model. The record is from RNAcentral.